GUUGGUGUAGCUCAAUGGUAGAGCGGCGGUCUCCAAAACCGCGCCUGAGUUGGUUCGAUUCCAGCCACCUUCGCCA
This 76-nucleotide transfer RNA is filed under the name Borborobacter arsenicus. RNAcentral's name for it is "Pseudaminobacter sp. CB3 tRNA-Trp". It matches the Rfam family "tRNA". Rfam says of the family: Transfer RNA (tRNA) molecules are approximately 80 nucleotides in length. Their secondary structure includes four short double-helical elements and three loops (D, anti-codon, and T loops). The record is from RNAcentral. Lineage: Bacteria; Pseudomonadati; Pseudomonadota; Alphaproteobacteria; Hyphomicrobiales; Phyllobacteriaceae.